GCCAAACCAUCCUGUCAACCUAAAAAGUAUUAAAUUCAUUAGACAUGCACAAAGAGGAUGGUCUUCAAAUUUCAACCUCUCAGUUAAGCAAUUAAUAACCUUCAAGCUUUAAAUAAGAUCUUGUACCUUUCAUGAGCCACUAAGAACAUGUUGAAGCACGAGUUAGAAUGAAGGCAAAUCUUUCCUCAUUUGCCCUUUUUUAUGAGUUCG
RNAcentral lists this unclassified non-coding RNA (210 nucleotides) under Hevea brasiliensis (rubber tree). The record is from RNAcentral. Lineage: Eukaryota; Viridiplantae; Streptophyta; Magnoliopsida; Malpighiales; Euphorbiaceae.